GUAGCGAAAUUCCUUGUCGGGUAAGUUCCGACCUGCACGAAUGGCGUAACGACUUCCCCACUGUCUCCAACAUCGACUCAGCGAAAUUGAAUUGCCCGUGAAGAUGCGGGCUACCCGCGGUUAGACGGAAAGACCCCGUGCACCUUUACUACAGCUUUACAUUGGCAUUAGUGACGACAUGUGUAGGAUAGGUGGUAGACUUUGAAGCCCGGGCGCCAGCUCGAGUGGAGUCACCCUUGAAAUACCACCCUUGUCCUUAUUGAUGUCUAACCACGGCGCUACAACGCCUGGGACAAUGUGUGGUGGGUAGUUUGACUGGGGCGGUCGCCUCC
This 332-nucleotide ribosomal RNA is filed under the name Thalassiosira rotula. RNAcentral's name for it is "partial Bacterial large subunit ribosomal RNA". It matches the Rfam family "Bacterial large subunit ribosomal RNA", at positions 1956 to 2290 of the family's 2925-position model. Lineage: Eukaryota; Bacillariophyta; Thalassiosirophyceae; Thalassiosirales; Thalassiosiraceae. The record is from RNAcentral.